Pan troglodytes (chimpanzee) is the source of this 932-nucleotide long non-coding RNA. RefSeq lists it as uncharacterized. The transcript has 3 exons. The record is from RefSeq and is a predicted model, not a curated record. Lineage: Eukaryota; Metazoa; Chordata; Mammalia; Primates; Hominidae.
GAGGUUAUCACAUUAAAUGGAAUUAGAAAGCUCUGGGUCUGCAAUUUAAAUCUUCAGGAUUUGUGUCUUUAUUACUAAGUCCAUUAUUCCAUUAUACUGGUCAGAAGAGUGAACCAGGAAACAGAGGGGACGGUCUUUUAUGCGGCAGCAGGGAAAGAGCUGGUUGCCUGAUGAUACUUAACCAUUGGGAUUGUUGAGAAGCAAUUUUUCAGCUUGCAGAUCCUAAGGAAGCAGCUCCAACUCAGAUCCUUCCUCAUCAUUGUUUCUCAUCAGGACUGGACGAUUCUGCCCAUGCAGGUUUUUGGCAUCUAUGGAUCAAGUUUUUGGAAGGUGAGAAUGAUAAAAAUGAAGACCCCAAGAUACAGAAAGUUGUGUUAAGUCACUGAAGUGGUGACCGAAUGACCUGAGCGUCUUCCAGACACAUGUAUUGCCAGAUUUUGUCUUUCUGUGAAUGUACAUUUCAUUGCUCUUCUUGAGGAGACGAAUAUCCAUGAGUAUAGUACGUAUUCAUAUAGGAAGCAACUAAAAAGUACUUAAGAUGUCUUUGCUGUUUAACUUUCUGAUUUCUAGAGCUAUGUCUCCACCUGAUGGGAGGUAAUGGAAUUACGGUAAAUUUACAAGGGCAACUUGAGUAGAGUCAUGCUUAUUACAUCAGCUAGAAAAUCACCCAGCUAAUUAUAGGAAACAGAGAAAAAAAUCCCCAAAACAAUGAUGACCAUAAAAUAUGUAGUUUGCUGAAGUUACAUUUUCUUAUUGCAGUGAAUUACUUAAGAUGUAUUUCUUCCCUAUAGAGAGCUAUACUGUUUUAAUGCAUGUACUAUUGGGAACAUUGAAAAGCAUCAAUGCUAUUUCAUUUAAGGGGUGUUGUUGUUGCGCUUCUCAAAAAGUAUUUCUUUAUUUGCUGAUGUGUAUUUAAUAAAAGGAUAAACUUC